AGUCUCAUUAAAUCAGCAUGUUUUUCAACCGUCUUACAUUUUUCUUCAAGCUGUGUGCUUCGUUUGCUCUAUAAUUGACAGGAUUCCCUCAUUCUAUCUUCAAUUAUUUGAACAAAAGGACUAUCCCCAGACUGAUCUUUCUCUCUCCGUCUCACUCUUCCUCCCUCAAGCUGUACAGGGAAGUUAAUUUGGUGAUGAUGGCAACGGAGGUCUUGGGAGGCUAAUAGCUUUUUCAGAACGUCAUGGAAACACUAUCGUAGAGCCUUCCUCUGGGAAUGCAAAAAUGCAUUUGUGGCGCUCUCCCAUUCACCGCUCUUCAAGUUAACCCAACUUUGAUGACUUCCGCCGAGGAGAAACCUGGAAAUGCGCGUGGCAGAACAGAGCACAGCAUAUGCAUUUGAAUUUUGUACUUUCUUUAAACGACCAAUCAUUUUAGGACCCUUAUUCGUCGUCUUAUAUUGUAUCUAGCCCUUUGUAGCUGCACUGAAACUGUAAUUUUGACCUUCGACAGUCUGGAGUCCACUGAAGUGAACUAAAUCCUGAAAUGUUUUCAUCAAAAAAAAUGUUUUCGA
Puntigrus tetrazona (Sumatra barb) is the source of this 572-nucleotide long non-coding RNA. RefSeq lists it as uncharacterized. The transcript is spliced from 4 exons. The record is from RefSeq and is a predicted model, not a curated record. Lineage: Eukaryota; Metazoa; Chordata; Actinopteri; Cypriniformes; Cyprinidae.